UUGACACUAAAAUGGUGCAUAUUUAUUCUCAGAUUCACUGAAUUGGUGAAGAAAUCCAAUUUUAGGGUUACUUUGUGUCUUUUUCUUUUCUAUCUAUAUUUUACAACGGUCACCCAAACAAAUGUGUCCAGAACUAUCGACCAUCGAGUAGAGCGCAUCGUGGUAGGCUCCCCUUAUAGUCGCACACAAUUGCCCGGGGUGAGAACGUUGGGGAAGUCCUUGUCAACGGCGGUGCCGAUGAUAGUGGUGACCUAACGGUGUCGUCGUAGGAACUGGAGUUGCCGGUGGAGCAUACGACGGAGACGCCAUAGAUAACGACGUGGAGGGAGCCGAGCGUGACGGGCUCCUGGAAGAGGAUUUAGUGUCGUCCACGAGGGGCACGUCUUGGCCGAGAGAGACGGAGAUGACGUCGACGCCGUCCGUCAUGGAUGGCAGCUAGCAGCCAACCUUGUAGGCGACGACGCAUGCCCACAGCAUGCCGCCCUUGGCAAAGCUGCCGACGGCGAUGGAGAGCAUGUGGGUGCCGCGUGGUCCUUGGUGUUGCGCAUCCAGUUGCCGUCCAUCACAUCCGAGUUGCUGAGCAGAGUAAUUUUCAGAGGAACGUACUGGAUGAGGCAGUGGACAAUACUACUAAAGGGAGAAGAUGAACCACAAGUAAAACUGGGACGUCGUCUACUUAAAACGACCAUGAUGCAGUUUUUCGCUUCCAAUGGAUAGAACUUUUUCAGUAGGCUAGACUGUGUUUUGUCUUCGCCUUAGAUUUUCAGUUGUUUAUGCUGUUGAGAGAACCUUUCUUAAUCUUUGUAUGUUGGACAUCUUCAUGCAUAUUUACAUGCAGCUGCCUUUCCUAAAAAAAUAUAUGCAUGCGCCCAAAGUUUUAACUGUA
Zea mays is the source of this 886-nucleotide long non-coding RNA. RefSeq lists it as uncharacterized. The record is from RefSeq and is a predicted model, not a curated record. Lineage: Eukaryota; Viridiplantae; Streptophyta; Magnoliopsida; Poales; Poaceae. The transcript is spliced from 2 exons.